Molecule: long non-coding RNA, 5147 nt
Organism: Ailuropoda melanoleuca (giant panda)
Lineage: Eukaryota; Metazoa; Chordata; Mammalia; Carnivora; Ursidae
Exons: 3
Source: RefSeq, a predicted model, not a curated record
AUCAUCUCUAGGGAGGCCAUUCGCCUGAUAAGACCCCAGCUACCCCCGAAAGGAAAGUGAGUUUGCAAUAACCCAGCCACUUUCUUUUCUGGUACAACUUCCUCGUGCCCACUCCCUUCUGCCUAUAGAAGUCCUUCCUGUUGCACACUCCUUGGAGCUCCUUUCCACCUGCUGGAUGGAAUGCUGCCCAACUCACGCAUCACUAAAUAAAACCAAUAAGAUCUAUAAAAUUUUCUCGGUGGAAUUUUGCUUUUUAAUGCCCCAGAAUUAUUUUUUAAAUCUCCACUAUUUGGCAGACUCAAAAGAAUGCACCUCCUUGUCAGAAAGUAGUUUAGAAAAAGGAGCAAAGGGCCUCCGAGAAUGUUUGCAGCUGUAGGCGUUCCUGGGGAGAGCAGACGCCCAGCCCAGGAGGGGCACGUUCGUGCACGAGCUCCCAUCACAUCACUUUACUGUUACGGAAUUUCCGUCCUGGCUCCCUAACUGUUUGACACCUUCUGGGGGGAAUAAGAGGAACAGGGACUCAAGAAAACACCAGUGCCGGUGAUGGGUAUUAAGGAGGGCAUGUACUGCAUGGAGCACUUGGUGUUAUAUGCAAACGAUGAAUCAUGGAACACAACAUCAUGGUGACUAACAUAAUAAAAAAUUAAAGAAAAAACCACACCAGUGGUGCUUCCCAGGGGCACCUAGUCACGUUGGCAGGUACGUUGCUGAGUAUUAAGAAAGGACACGGCGCAGAGUCUCCUGCCUCACGGUUCUGUGAGAUGACUGGGCAGAAAUGAGACAAACUCAGGAAGAGAAUUGCAUGAAAAGCAAAACAAAACCGUACCCAAAAAACCCAGACAUUUCCUACUGUUUAAUUGACCUCAAGGAGGAAAAACCCAGCUUCACAAAAACUUAGACAUGUUUCAUUUUAUUGGGUACAAAACCAAGCAUACAAUAAUUAUAAGAGAAAUAACAAACAUGCUCGAUGGGGUCAGGCCAUUUGAAAUGGGCCUCUGUAUACGGACAUGAAUAAAUCAUAAAUACUGCCUCUCUGUGACCUUGAAACACAGUACCACCUAGAGUUUUCUAUUUUUAACUACUUGAGUAAGUGAAAUAGUAAGAGAAAACAGACAGUAUUUGAAUCAUGAAAGGUAGAGACUGUUCCGUCUUUCUGGAAACUAGCCUACUGGCUUGGGAACCAGGACAAGCCUUCCUCCUUUCAGCCCGUUGCUGCCAUGAGACCAACGAUGCCCCUGUCUGUGUCGACACCGGCACCCGCUCUGCCCUGCCCGUCAGUCAUGAACCUUCAGCCGGCGUGGUCCUUACAGAGUUGAGAAAUAGUCUCAGCCUAAGGAACCUUGGCUAACACGGACAGGUUUUUGCAGUCUGUUCUUGGAUGUUUUUACAACUUUUUCUGUUAACUGAUUCUAAACCUGCAGGUGUUCUUAACUUUCUCUACACUUUUUUUUUUAAACCUUGGAUUAUUUAAGUUGGUUUAAACACAACAUGUAGGUCAACAACUCCCAGAGAUGAGAGGCACUUCUCUGAAGACAGUGACAUGUCCCCAGACUGGCAGGACACUGGGUGGCUUGGACGUGACCAACUACAGCAGGCCAGGACUCCACUCUCGGGCGCCGUCUGCGGGACACGGCAGGAUUCUUGUCUGCAGCAUUUAGAACAUGAGGCUGUGUUGGGGUGGGUAUCAGAAAUCGUGGGGAUGAAAUUGUGCUUAUGUUCUCUAGUGAGCCCCUGCUGGUCCUCAGCAGCUCUGAUCCAAUCGCAAGAAUCCUGGUUAAAAUAAACCGUCAACCUGAGGCAAAAAUGUGAAUAGGCAAAGUCUAUUUUUUCAGGCUUUUAAAACUUGUAACAUGUGACAUUAUAACUGUUCCCCAAAUUAGGCAACGGACUUCAAUUCAGAGAGCAAGGAACAAAUGUGACAUCCGAGGCACCGCCUCUCAAUUUCUUAAUCAGGAUGGUCUUUGGCUCAGACAUCCACAAGGCAAAGUGAACACGGGACCUCCACCCUGCAGGGCCUCCGAGAGGACCCACGCACAGCAUUCCUGGAGAAGGCAGCAGCUCAGCGGAAAUCCCUUAGUAUUAAUAACGGGGGUGUGUACAUGAUGUGCUUACAGAGAUUCAUGGGCCCUGAAAUGUCCUAAAGAGCUGCGUAAACAUCGUAGCCACAAAAGCAUCAUGAAUGAGGGGCAGCGCCGGCUGGUAUAAAGGACUCAUCCAUCUGCGCUCACGAGGAGCAGUGCAGGCGAAAGACACGGGACGCCACGUGGAGACCACAGAUGGGUGAAGUCGGGGCAGCGCUAGGGUUUCAAACCGCAGUGCGAAAACCGAGUAGAGGAGUUACAAUAUAACUGAGAACUAGGGAAGCAAGGCGUCUUUGUCCAUAUAAAAAAGUACAGGAUCUUAGUGUAAGAGCGCGCUCUCUCCAGUAGGGUGGUGUGAAAGGUAAAGAAUGUAAGACAGAAUCUGUGAAAAUCUAGAAAUAAAGUCUUGGGAGAAAAGAAAACAGCCAUAAAAAUCUGUGUAUGUUGUUCCAUAUUGAUAAAGUCAGAUUUUAAAAUGGGAUCUCAACAUUUAACUGUGUGCAUUAUUUCAUUUACAAAUGUCCUCAUCCUAUUAACUGAAGGGCCUUGGAUGACAUUGUCUGCUCUGUGAAGUCUGAAAGCUAGAACGCAUUUUCACAUGAAAAGUACCAAGUUCUUACUUUGCCCUAAAAGUGAAAAAAUAGAAACAUGUAUGGAUGAAAACAAAUAAUCAUUUAAAGAGAUAAAAUUGGCUACAGUCAUUAAAACAUACUGUAUAUCCAGUGGUCAACCAAAGGUUUUAAAGAUAUUUACAGUAUCAGCAGAAACCUCCUAGCGAGACUAAAGGCACACGUAGACCUCGCUUAGUGGUGGUUAAAUAAGAAGCAUCUAGAACAGAUGGGGAGCCAUGACCCGGUGAGAAUAAGAAGACACUCUCCCGUCCAUCUGGAAAUGUGUCCUCACCCCUCUGCCCUGAAGCAAGGUGAUAAAAUCCUGCUCUUGCCAAGUAAAAGAUUAUGUCGGCUACAGACCACAGGACCCAGGUCCCAAAUCAGUAUGUGAUGACAGUGACAGUCACAGUGCUUUCGUGUGUAUCUGUGAUGGCAGGCCUUCCAUGUACAAACUCGAAGUGGUGGCUUUACUGUGUGUGCACCUUUUCCAGAAGCCAUACAUAUGUCAGAAACUCUCAGGUGCCGAACGUUCCACUCUUGGCUCCCACCAAGCAGGAACGGUCCCGCUGAGACCCACUGACUCGCACCUGGACCAAGUCUGGGCACUGCUUUAACCUCAGGGUGGAGAACACCAAGGUGGACUUCACCACCACCUCUGAGUUUAAAAUGCCUUGGGGAAAAAAAAAAAGGAAGGAAGGAAGGAAAGAAAAAGAAAGAAAGAGGAAGAAAGAAAGAAGAAGAAAGAAAGAAAAACAAACAAACCACCAUGACAGUAUUAGAUCCCAUUGUCUGGAAAGAGCAGCAGCUCAGUGUUGCAUGACUUUGCUCCCAGGAGCGGCUCCCGAACUGAGGAAGAGCUGGAGCCUCUCCUGGGCCUGAAGUAGACAGAACUUCUGUUUGGACAGUUGAGGAGGAGGACACCAAGAACCCUGUUUCAAAUGUUUCGGAUUCUACGCAGUUGCAAACGGACACAGAGGUCUGGCUGUGAUUAAACAAACAGGCUCCUCCGGCUGCAGUCUGCGUGUCCCUGGGAGGAGCAACGGGCCACGCCGGGCUCUAGUCAAGAAACACUGCAGGACGCAGGUGCCAAAAGGAGGUGCAUGGGUUCUGUCUGAUAUCAAAUAGUACCACUUAAGAAAAACACUGACAUUCCUUCAAGUGCUUAUAAUUUUAGACCAGUCAUGUAUACUUUAAAAAAAGAAAGAAAGAAAGAAAGAAAGAAAGAAAGAAAGAAAGAAAGAAAGAAAGAAAGAAAGAAAGAAACCACCAGUUUGGAGAAAAUCUGUCGUAAACUCUCAAUCUGUUCUGCUAUUGAUGAAGUGCUUAAUGACACCAGCGAGUAAAAGCCACAGCCUUCUUUUUCAAGGCUGUUUUCCAUGAAAAGUAAACAAGGUGUAAGAUGCAAGUUUUAUACAACUUAAUCACCAAUUGUUGGUGAUUCUGAGCCCUCUAAAAUCUUAAUAUGAAAGAGUGUAGCACAGACAACCUGUACCUCAAAUCAAAAGCUUAUUAAAGUAUUUUCAAAUAGGAAACACACUCAGGAAAACCGUGUUUAAAAGGAGAGAGAAAAAAUCAUGUGGUGCCUUAAAAAAGAGUAUGAAUGAAAACAUAGGAUUACUGCUGUCUCGUGAAUAGCAGAGAAAUGGGAAUGACGACCAGCAGAGCAACUGGUUACCCCCAGGGGGAUUUACUCUGAGGCAGGAUCUCCAAUCAGAGUUGAAAAUAUUUUCUUUUCUGUGUACUUACCCAAAACAUAGCAUCUCACUAGGAUUCAUAAUACUUCUCAGGAACAUAGGUCAGGUAGGAUAAAAGAAAAUGAGUGGUCAACAUGCUUUCUGGAAACCUCAGAGGGUCACUGGUCCAGGGGUUUCUACCACAGUAAGCAAUCAUUUGAAAAUAUGUGCUUCCUUAAUAAAUAUGGAAGAUGUUGAAUCAUGGCCAAUAGCUAACAUGUGCUCAGUAUAUGUUGAAGAAAUGGAUAAAGGAAUUGUCCUUAUUUGGAACUCAUGACCAAUCCUCUUAUAACUUCUGUUGACUCUGUCAGUGCACAUCAAUAAAAGUGAUUAUCGGCAUCCUUUUUUAUAAAAAAAGGAAACAAACCUACAAGGGUGAUUAAGGGCCUUACCCAAAAUGAUAGACUCUGCUAACAGUGGCAGAAUUUUGACCUCUGGAAUUUUUACUAACUUGUAAUGUUUAAAACCACUUUGCCCACUCAUUUCUGCUGGAUAAAAAAUAUAAAUACAUAUUUCUUAUCCACAGACAUUAUUUUUUUUUCCAGCCACACAUAAUCAGCCUGGAGAACUGAUAUAAUGUGACUUCUGCAAGAUAAAGCAAUUAAAAUCACUUACGUGCUUUUCUGAUGAGAUUUCAUCACCCUAUUCCCUGUCUUGAAAAAAUCAGAUGGCUGAUCAUCUUCUAGGGUUCGAAGGACUGUCUAAAACACAGACAUGGAGUA